UACAGAGGUCUCAAGCGUUGUUCGGAAUCACUGGGCGUAAAGGGUGCGUAGGUGGCGCGAUAAGUCGGGUGUGAAAUCUCGGAGCUUAACUCCGAAAUUGCAUUCGAUACUGCCGUGCUUGAGGACUGGAGAGGAGACUGGAAUUCAUGGUGUAGCAGUGAAAUGCGUAGAGAUCAUGAGGAAGACCAGUGGCGAAGGCGGGUCUCUGGACAGUUCCUGACACUGAGACACGAAGGCCAGGGGAGCAAACGGG
Molecule: ribosomal RNA, 253 nt
Filed under: uncultured bacterium
Lineage: Bacteria
Description: partial 16S ribosomal RNA
Rfam family: Bacterial small subunit ribosomal RNA
Source: RNAcentral